This 253-nucleotide ribosomal RNA is filed under the name uncultured bacterium. RNAcentral describes it as "partial 16S ribosomal RNA". It matches the Rfam family "Bacterial small subunit ribosomal RNA", at positions 524 to 776 of the family's 1533-position model. The record is from RNAcentral.
UACGUAGGGUGCAAGCGUUGUCCGGAAUUAUUGGGCGUAAAGAGCUCGUAGGCGGUCUGUCGCGUCGGCUGUGAAAACUCGGGGCUCAACCCCGAGCCUGCAGUCGAUACGGGCAGACUAGAGUUCGGUAGGGGAGACUGGAAUUCCUGGUGUAGCGGUGAAAUGCGCAGAUAUCAGGAGGAACACCGGUGGCGAAGGCGGGUCACUGGCCCGGUACUGACGCUGAGGCACGAAAGCGUGGGGAGCAAACAGG